Molecule: ribosomal RNA, 599 nt
Filed under: uncultured bacterium
Lineage: Bacteria
Description: bacterial SSU rRNA
Rfam family: Bacterial small subunit ribosomal RNA
Source: RNAcentral
GAACGUGCCCAUCGGUUCGGAAUAACCCAGGGAAACUUGGGCUAAUACCGGAUACGUGCGAGAGCAGAAAGAUUUAUCGCCGAUGGAUCGGCCCGCGUCUGAUUAGCUAGUUGGUGAGGUAACGGCUCACCAAGGCGACGAUCAGUAGCUGGUCUGAGAGGAUGAUCAGCCACACUGGGACUGAGACACGGCCCAGACUCCUACGGGAGGCAGCAGUGGGGAAUAUUGGACAAUGGGCGCAAGCCUGAUCCAGCCAUGCCGCGUGAGUGAUGACGGCCCUAGGGUUGUAAAGCUCUUUCGCACGCGACGAUAAUGACGGUAGCGUGAGAAGAAGCCCCGGCUAACUUCGUGCCAGCAGCCGCGGUAAUACGAAGGGGGCUAGCGUUGUUCGGAAUCACUGGGCGUAAAGGGCGCGUAGGCGGCCGUUCAAGUCGGGGGUGAAAGCCUGUGGCUCAACCACAGAAUGGCCUUCGAUACUGUUCGGCUCGAGACCGGAAGAGGUUGGUGGAACUGCGAGUGUAGAGGUGAAAUUCGUAGAUAUUCGCAAGAACACCGGUGGCGAAGGCGGCCAACUGGUCCGGUUCUGACGCUGAGGCGCG